AGUAAGAAGUGCAUCAGAGAUCUUUGAUACUUUUUAUUUCUCAAACAAAAUAGAAUGCUAUGUAGAAUACGCAAAAGCUAAUUCUUUAGUACGCACCUGAAAGAAUGCCAUUUUGCAAUUCACAUGCUGAAACACCAAUUUCAAUGAUGAAAACGUCAUAUACUCAAAAUCAUCUUAUAGUUAAAAAGUUUAAUCAAUAAAUUUUUGGAUAUUGAUGGUCAAAAGAAUGAGUUCUCUCCUUAUUCUGUAAUUUAGUAAAUGUAUGGUUUUUG
RNAcentral lists this unclassified non-coding RNA (272 nucleotides) under Hevea brasiliensis (rubber tree). The record is from RNAcentral. Lineage: Eukaryota; Viridiplantae; Streptophyta; Magnoliopsida; Malpighiales; Euphorbiaceae.